This 1398-nucleotide long non-coding RNA is filed under the name Sus scrofa (pig). RNAcentral's name for it is "lncRNA (ENSSSCG00055018008.1)". Lineage: Eukaryota; Metazoa; Chordata; Mammalia; Artiodactyla; Suidae. The record is from RNAcentral.
ACUAGUCGGGUUCAUUACCGUUGAGCCACAGUGGGAACUCCUAAAAUUUAUCUGUUGAAGAACCUGGUCCAUUUGACUUGUAGAGUUCCCACAAUCUGGACUUUACUAACUGCAUUUCAAGGACUGGUCAGCAUUGUCAUAUGUCUUUUGUAUUGUGUACAAAUUAGCAGCAAGAUGCAAAGGCAUUAUCAGACUCAAGUGAUUCCUUUGACGAGUCUACACAUUUUGUAUGGUUGCCUGGUUGUCCCUUUCUUUGUGAGAUGUUAGCAGCCACUGUUGCUCUUUGCCUAAAUCCAAUUCACAGGGGAUUGAAAACUGGUUAAUUCCUAAUUCUUUCUUUUUACUUAUUUGCUGAAAUACAUCUAUAAAGAGAUGCUUGCAACUACUUACAUACCCAAUAGUACAAUUCAUGUUGGAAAGGCAGAAUAAAUGCUUAACCCUUUCCCUUUGUUUGCCAGUUUUCAAGAUCAUGAAUUGGUUUCCUAUCAUACUCCAAAUGUGAUCAGCUUUUUAAAAUAUCACUGUGAGCUCAAAGAUUUAAGCAUAUUUGAUCAGUUUUAAUCCAUUGCACUUAUAUGGACACUCCAGUUGUCCCAUUUUUGCUCAGUAAGCUAUUCAAGUUGUUUCCUGGGUCCUUUUGUUUUUUGCGUUUUUUUUUUUUUUUUUGUCUUUUUGCCAUUUCUAGGGCCGCUUCCAUGGCAUAUGGAGGUUCCCAGGCUAGGGGUUGAAUCAGAGCUACAGCCUCUGUCCUGUGCCACAGCCACAGCAACAAGGGAUCUGAGCCGUGUCUUCGACCUACACUACAGCUCACCACAAUGCCAGAUCCUUAACCCACUGAGCAAGGCCAGGACUUGAACCCGCAAACUCAUGGUUCCUAGUCAGAUUCGUUUCCGCUGCACCACAACAGGAACUCCUCAUUGUCCAUUUUAUAAUCUUUGAAUUACAUUUUGUAAUUUUUAAGAGCCCAUCGUGUGUGUGUGUGUGUGUGGGGGGGGUGUCUAUAUGUGCUUUUUAGGGCUCCACCCACAGCAUAGGGAGGUUCCCAAGCUAGGGGUCUAAUUAGAGCCACAGCUGCCGGCCUAUGCCACAGCAACAGCAAUGCCAGAUCCCAGAUGCAUCUGUGACCUAUACCACAGUUCACAGCAAUGCUGGAUCCUUAACCCACUUGAUCGAGGCCAGGGACCGGACCUGCAGCCUCAUGGAUGCUAGUCAGAUUCAUUUCCACUGCGCCAUGUUGGGAACUCCCAAGAGCCCAUCUUUGAAAUUUAGUGUUUGCUCUUUUCAAAUGCCUAAAUGAAGGUCCUAAAAACAUGUAAUUAGUGUAAAUAUGAUCCUCAAACCCGCCUGAGGGUAGGCCUGUGUUUACACUUUUUUUUUUUUUUUUAACUUUUUAGGGCC